GCCCCCGAACCCCCCGCCGCCGCCUCCUCCUCCACCACCGCCGCCUCCUCCGGCGGCACCGCCAGCGGAACCCGAGCUGGGCCCCGCGCCUCCACCGUGCUUCUGAGGAGCCAUGGGCCUCACCCCAGAGCGGGCCCCGGCAGGCCGGAGACCGAGGGAGGGGGGCGGCUGGGGCGGGCGGGGUAAGGAGGGGGGAGGGGAAGCACCGAGCUCCAACUCCUCUAAGUCUCCUCCGCUCCGUUCUCCUCAGCUCUACGUGCGACCAGCCGAACCCGACGCCGACACCGCUCCCGCCUCCCCCGCAUGCCCAUUGGCUCCGCGGAUGGCGCCGUCCCGACGGAUUGGCCGAAGGUAGUCCCGCCCCUGCGUGAGCAGAGAUGGUUCUGGAAGAGUUUGGUUGGUCGGUGCGCUUCGCCGCUCGGCGCUUUCCCCCUCCCCCUCCUUUGAACUGAAUUCGCGGGAAAGAGCCGCUCGUUCCCCCUCGCUCUCCGAACCGCGGGGCAUGGCUCCCGCUGCCUACAUGAGAGGUUCUGCUGCUUCUGGUGACUCACCCUUCUAAGUAGGAAGCCAGGAGGUGGAGCCAGAGGGCUACUUUCCAAGCAGGGAGAAGGAGGACAAUUGGGGAAUUAAUCUCUGACAGUGGAGUCAGACAGGCCUCUGAAUGGAGAAACUGAGGCUGACAUCCCAGCCUGGUGUCUCAAGGCGUUGCGGGCAUGGGACCAGAGAGAGGACAGGUCUCCCCCCUCUCUCCCAAACUCAGCCUCCAGGGAGCCGCUGAG
Long non-coding RNA from Mauremys mutica (yellowpond turtle), 779 nucleotides. RefSeq lists it as uncharacterized. The transcript has 3 exons. The record is from RefSeq and is a predicted model, not a curated record. Lineage: Eukaryota; Metazoa; Chordata; Testudines; Geoemydidae.